Molecule: ribosomal RNA, 1248 nt
Filed under: uncultured bacterium
Lineage: Bacteria
Description: partial 16S rRNA
Rfam family: Bacterial small subunit ribosomal RNA
Source: RNAcentral
UAACUUGGAUCUGGCUCACGACAAAUGCUGGCUUUGUGCCUAAAACCUGCUUGUCGAGCGGAGUUUUGAGAACCUUGCUUUUCCAAGCUUAGACGCGGACGGGUGACUAACACGUGGGCAACCUGCCCUUGAGACUUGGAUAACUCCGGUAACCCGGAACUCAUACCUCAUAACGCCUAUCUUCACAUGACAAUCCGUUAUAAGGUGGCUUUUUUCUACCACUCAUCGAUGGGCCCGCGGCGCACCCUCUAGUUGGUGAGGUGACGGCUCACCAAGGCCACGAUGCGUAGCCGACCUGAGAGGGUGAUCGGCCACCUCCUUCCUGACACCUUGCCCAGACUCCUAGUUUAGGCACCCCUACGUAAUCUUCCGCAAUGGACGAAAGUCUGACGGACUCCGCCGCGUGAGUGAUGAAGGUUUUCGGAUCGUAAAGCUCUGAUGUUCGGGAAGAACCAAUACCUGUGACAUAAACGAGUGCCUUGACGGUACCUAACCCAAAAGCCUCGGCUAACUACGUGCCAUCCUCCGCGAUAAUACAUAUGUGGCAAGUGUUGUCCGGAAUGAUUGGGCGUAAAGCGCGUGCAUUGAGUUCCUUAAGUCUGAUGUGAAACCCCACGGCUCAACCGUGGAGGGGCCUUGGAAACUGGGGAACUUGAAUGCAGAUGAAGAGAGCGGAAUUCCACGUGUAGCGGUGAAAUGCGUAGAUAUGUGGAGGAACACCGAUGGCGAAGGCGGCUCUCUGGUCUGUCACUGACGCUGAGGCGCGAAAGCGUGGGGAUCGAACAGGAUUAGAUACCCUGGUAGUCCACGCCCUAAACGAUGAAUGCUCAAUGUUAGAGAGUUUCCGCCCUUUACUGCUGCAACACACUCAUUAUUCCCUCCGCCUGGGGAGCCCGGUCGGAUGACUGACACUCGAAUGAAUUAACGGCCACCCGCACAAACGAUGGAGCGUGUGAAUUAAUUCAAACCAACGCAAACAUACUUAGCCUUGCUUGACAUCGUCUGAUACUUAUACAAAUCAAACGUUCCCUUCAGGAACCUAGUGGCUGGUGGUGUGUGGUUGUCUCCUGCUCGGGUCUGGUGAUGUUGGUCUAAGUCCCACAGCGACCGCUAUCCUUGAUCUUAGUUGCCAGCAGUCGGUUACUCUCUCUAAAGUGACUGCCGGUGACAAACCGAAGGAAGGUGGGGAUGACGUCAAAUCAUCAUGUUACUUAUGACCUGAGCUACACGCUUGCUGGAUGGAUGAUA